This is a long non-coding RNA of Liolophura sinensis, 529 nucleotides long. RefSeq lists it as uncharacterized. The record is from RefSeq and is a predicted model, not a curated record. The transcript is spliced from 3 exons. NCBI's taxonomy places the organism in Eukaryota, Metazoa, Mollusca, Polyplacophora, Chitonida, Chitonidae.
AACAGGAUGUUUAAGUAGACCUAAACGCCUGUUUAUCGGUUAUAUGCAACAACUAAUGCAUAUAUAACUGGAAUACAAGAAGACAUUUUAUUUUGCCGUACAGAAGAAGAAGAUUAUGAAGACCUUGGUUAUAUUUCUGGCAUUGUUGAUUUGUUUCGGGGCGUCGCAAGCUUGGAGAAACUGUCCCAGGAUUCGGUGUGACAACUGCGCAUUUGCCGAGUCUAUGAGAAUGGCUGCCCAACCGAUCAAUGUGAGCGCAGACCCGAAUACAUGUGGCCUACGAUGAUGGCGAGCGAUGCCUCCAUGGUAGAGAUCUUCACGAUCCGAAAACUGCUGGUUCCUCUGGGACUCACAUUCCUCUUCGUUGGAUUCUUGCGCUGAUGACGUCAUCUUGAUCGCUCCAGUGACCAUGUUGCAAUGAACAGAGGGCACGCUUUUGUUUUUCGUCCAUGGUUGAUUUGGUUCGAUUAAAAAUCUGUUAAACCGUCUUGCAUUGUGCUUUCGAAUGGUAAUAAAGCAUUCAAAAGCC